GAUGAAGAACGUAGCGAAAUGCGAUAAGUAAUGUGAAUUGCAGAAUUCAGUGAAUCAUCGAAUCUUUGAACGCACAUUGCGCCCGCCAGUAUUCUGGCGGGCAUGCCUGUUCGAGCGUCAUUUCAACCAUCAAGCCCCAGGCUUGUGUUGGGGACCUGCGGCUGCCGCAGGCCCUGAAAACCAGUGGCGGGCUCGCUGUCACACCGGGCGUAGUAGAUUUUAUCUCGCUCAGGGCGUGCUGCGGGUCCCGGCCGUUAAAAGCCUUUUUUUACCCAAGGUUGACCUCGGAUCAGGUAGGAAGACCCGCUGAACUUAAGCAUAUCAAUAACGGAGGA
RNAcentral lists this unclassified non-coding RNA (335 nucleotides) under soil metagenome. Its description in RNAcentral is "partial contains 5.8S ribosomal RNA, internal transcribed spacer 2, and large subunit ribosomal RNA". The stretch from base 1 to 120 matches the Rfam family "5.8S ribosomal RNA", at positions 35 to 154 of the family's 154-position model. The record is from RNAcentral.